ACCAGACUCCUACGGGAGGCAGCAGUGGGGAAUAUUGCACAAUGGGGGAAACCCUGAUGCAGCGACGCCGCGUGAGCGAAGAAGUAUCUCGGUAUGUAAAGCUCUAUCAGCAGGGAAGAAAAUGACGGUACCUGACUAAGAAGCCCCGGCUAACUACGUGCCAGCAGCCGCGGUAAUACGUAGGGGGCAAGCGUUAUCCGGAUUUACUGGGUGUAAAGGGAGCGCAGGCGGCGCGGUAAGUCUGAUGUGAAAGCCCGGGGCUCAACCCCGGGACUGCAUUGGAAACUGUGCAGCUAGAGUGCAGGAGAGGUAAGUGGAAUUCCUAGUGUAGCGGUGAGAUGCGUAGAUAUUAGGAGGAACACCAGUGGCGAAGGCGGCUUACUGGACUGUAACUGACGUUGAGGCUCGAAAGCGUGGGGAGCAAACAGGAUUAGAUACCCGAGUA
RNAcentral lists this ribosomal RNA (445 nucleotides) under uncultured bacterium. Its description in RNAcentral is "bacterial SSU rRNA". It matches the Rfam family "Bacterial small subunit ribosomal RNA", at positions 330 to 792 of the family's 1533-position model. The record is from RNAcentral.